GCGGGUAUAACUCAGACGUGGAAUACCUGCCCGGCAUGCAUGAGGUUCUGGGUUCAAUCCCCAGUACCUCCA
Molecule: transfer RNA, 72 nt
Filed under: Camelus bactrianus (Bactrian camel)
Lineage: Eukaryota; Metazoa; Chordata; Mammalia; Artiodactyla; Camelidae
Also listed under: 2 other names
Rfam family: tRNA
About the family: Transfer RNA (tRNA) molecules are approximately 80 nucleotides in length. Their secondary structure includes four short double-helical elements and three loops (D, anti-codon, and T loops). Further hydrogen bonds mediate the characteristic L-shaped molecular structure. tRNAs have two regions of fundamental functional importance: the anti-codon, which is responsible for specific mRNA codon recognition, and the 3' end, to which the tRNAs corresponding amino acid is attached (by aminoacyl-tRNA synthetases). tRNAs cope with the degeneracy of the genetic code in two manners: having more than one tRNA (with a specific anti-codon) for a particular amino acid; and 'wobble' base-pairing, i.e. permitting non-standard base-pairing at the 3rd anti-codon position.
Source: Rfam by way of RNAcentral